Anser brachyrhynchus (Pink-footed goose) is the source of this 1248-nucleotide long non-coding RNA. Lineage: Eukaryota; Metazoa; Chordata; Aves; Anseriformes; Anatidae. The record is from Ensembl.
GGGGUGGUUCAUCCAGGGGCCCAGAGUAAAUGGUGUGAAAUCGCAGCAGCUGUUGGCAAAAGGGACGGCUCCUCCCCGUGCUGGGGCACUACAAGGCAUGGACCCAAGUGGUCAAAGGGAGCUGCCAGGCACCCCAGGAGUGGUUUUGCCACGCGAUGCCUUUGCAGAAAUCAAGCAUACCUGAGGAAGAGCAAGGAUGUGAGGCAGGCAAGCUGCUCCGCACCCAAAUUCCCCGGAACGCAAAAGACUCCACGAGAACAAGCACAUUAAAGGCCACGAGACAGAGAGAAGAGGAUGGUGAGAAACUGAGAGGUGCCAGAGCCAAGCCUGGGGAGAAGUCACGUCUUUUGCUGUGUUUUCUCUGCUGUCACUAGGCAAAAAAAAAAAAAACCUCUCUGGUCUUUUGCUCAGCUAUGUAUCAGCAGGCCUAAUCAGAAGUGUCCCGUUGUUGGCAAACAUUGCCUCCCCUCUGUGUGCUCACCGUUCCCAGCAGCAGGGUGCUGCUCCAGGAAGGAGAAGCUCUCUUCCCAGCGAGCUCUUGUUAGAAAUCUCCGUUGGAGAGCCUCAUCCCUCAGGCUCACAUCCUGUACAUGUCCCGGUGAGAAAGCUGCUGCUCCCCAUGGGAUCUGCUCAUCCUUGCAACAAGAAGGGGAAAAACGCCGGAGCUGCCCAUUCUCCUCUGUCCCUCUGGGACCUGCAUGUUUCAUCCGAGCAACCCAGUGGUGCAGCACCUCUAAUUGGAUGCUCUUUGGUGAGUUAUGUCAUGCCCAGACCACCGAAGGGCUCCAUGAGGAUUUAUAGAAGAUGCCCCGUGUCUUGGCGCCUCUGGUGCUCCUUCUGCUGUGGCUGAUGAGGAUCGCUGCCAGCCCCCACUCCCUGAGGAUCGGAUGGCUUCUGGUGGCAUGGCUGGGAGAUGGAUGGAGCUAUUGCAAACACUGCGAUGGGAGCUGAGCAGCGUGCAGGCAGGGGAAGAGGGCUGUGAAUCUCCUGGAAGCGUGUUUCAGCCAAGAUCCUACAUAGGCAACAGAUGCUGUGCUGGUUUAACUGUUGAUUUUUAUAAAUCCAUUUCACCCUUGCUUGGAUCCGUUGGUAAAUCGCUGUUCUUUACGGCCGCAGCGGUCGCACACGGCUAGCCCCACUUACUGCUAGGGGCUGCGCACAUCCAGGCAGGGAGGGAGACAGAAGACCUUAACACCGAGCUGUGAGCACCAAAAUAAACCAGCCCCUUAAAAUCGGGCGGCGUAGAUC